Molecule: non-coding RNA, 72 nt
Organism: Ameiurus melas (black bullhead)
Lineage: Eukaryota; Metazoa; Chordata; Actinopteri; Siluriformes; Ictaluridae
Source: the annotation of a GenBank genome assembly
UCUCUUGUGGACUAGUGGUUAGCAUGCGGCGCUCUCUUCACCACGGCCCAGGUUUGAUUCCUGGUCAGGGAA